GACGAACCGAGCGAACGUUGUUCGGAAUCACUGGGCUUAAAGGGUGCGUAGGCGGGCUGCCAAGUUUGAGGUGAAAUCCUCCGGCUCAACCGGGGAAGUGCCUUGAAUACUGGCGGUCUGGAGGGAGGUAGGGGCGUGCGGAACUAACGGUGGAGCGGUGAAAUGCGUUGAUAUCGUUAGGAACUCCGGUGGCGAAGGCGGCACGCUGGACCUCUUCUGACGCCGAGGCACGAAAGCCAGGGGAGCGAACGGG
This 253-nucleotide ribosomal RNA is filed under the name uncultured bacterium. RNAcentral's name for it is "partial 16S ribosomal RNA". It matches the Rfam family "Bacterial small subunit ribosomal RNA", at positions 524 to 776 of the family's 1533-position model. The record is from RNAcentral.